ACUCCUACGGGAGGCAGCAGUGGGGAAUAUUGCACAAUGGGCGCAAGCCUGAUGCAGCCAUGCCGCGUGUGUGAANAAGGCCUUCGGGUUGUAAAGCACUUUCAGUCAGGAGGAAAGGUUAGUAGUUAAUACUCUGCUAGCUGUGACUGUUACUGAC
This 157-nucleotide ribosomal RNA is filed under the name uncultured gamma proteobacterium KNIB61. RNAcentral describes it as "partial 16S ribosomal RNA". It matches the Rfam family "Bacterial small subunit ribosomal RNA", at positions 335 to 482 of the family's 1533-position model. The record is from RNAcentral. Lineage: Bacteria; Pseudomonadati; Pseudomonadota; Gammaproteobacteria.